Molecule: long non-coding RNA, 10719 nt
Filed under: Brachypodium distachyon (stiff brome)
Lineage: Eukaryota; Viridiplantae; Streptophyta; Magnoliopsida; Poales; Poaceae
Description: long non-coding RNA (BDIS_LNC000885)
Source: RNAcentral
AGUACAUGCGUUUUCACCAUCACCAUGCAUGGACAACGAAAUUAUCCAUCAGCAGCAAGGUAACAAUGCACUGAGAAUGGCUUAGGCCAACAAGCUUUCACAACUAAGUACACAUGAGCCUCAGGUACAUAGUUGGCGCGAAUGAUACAAGUCGCAGGAGCGAAGAAACACUACACAUAGCACUACGCUACAAGUCCAGUGCACACCCAAGCAAAGGGGAACAACUGCAUACAUGCACGGACAAGCCAGGUUAAACUGAUCUGGUUACUACUAUGGGAUCAUUCCAGUCAGUCAGUCUUGGAGUCUCCAUCGUAACAUGGCAUCUUCUCUACGAAGGAGAGAGACUCCACUCAUCACAAGGGGCGUCCUCAGGUGCGCCCCGUACUUUCAAGGCAACCUGUCGGGUGAAAAGAGUUAGACAGAGCCCCUGAAUCUGUAAACGCCUUUUAGGAACAUAUGGUAUUGUAGUAAUUUUAUAGUAGCAUUAAUCUAAAAUUCCCAAGGAGGCAGAAAAGCGUUUUGUCCGGGACUCACGCUAGCUUCAGGGAUAUAUCAGAACCGUCGUCAUUGUCGUGCGAGCUCCCCGAAUGCAAUGCCGUCAUCACAGAUUCAGAUGAGUGGACAUCUUCAGUGGCAACGUUUUCAGUUUCGACAACAGUCAUCUUGCCGGCCUUUGGCACCUGAGGCAUCUACAUCCAAUCACACGAGCAGCACUUAAAUUUGUGUUCCGCCGCCCCCACCAAUUAUAGAGAAACUAGAAUGGUUGUUCGGAUUGCAUUUUUUAAAGAUUGAUUAAGUGCAGGAUUACAGAUGCAGCAAAUAUCUUCUUACUUGGCUUCUCAAGCGCAAAUUUUCCUCUGCCACAAGUGUGCCCUACAAGAAAAACGAAAUCUCAUUAUAAAAUGUUCUUGAAGAAGUACACAGCGUUCUAUUAACCAAAUAAUAAUAAUCAUCUGGGGUAGAAAUUUUGUGAUGCUGGAUGGUAAAACCAAAAGAGAAAAAUGCAAUCAAACAAAAAUCCAUCGGUUGCAUGUGUGUUGAAAUACUCAUUUCUUCUGAUUAAUUGAAUAAAUUUCGAAAGCAAAUAAAAAAAGUCCCACGUCCGAAAAUCUACAGAGAAAGCACUGAGAAAUUGCUGAUAAGAAUUUCAUAAUAUGCGCAGUUACAUUUCCAAGUAUUGAUGUGUAACAUAACUGACAAGUUCCACCUUCCUCCCAGGAAAAGAAGGUUCUACUUUGACUUCACAAAUAAUAGUCAACGUACCUCUCUUGUUUAGCAAAUCAUGCUAUUGUGACAACUUUUGGGAACUGAUUUGUUGCGCACGACAUGCACAUAUCUACUACAUAUGCAUACAUAUUCAUAUGGAUUUCUAUCUCCAGCAUACUACAAGGGCAUGUACCACUAAGGUUCCCAAUAUUUAUUUCCUACACGGCUACCAGUUGAGGUAAGUACCCACGGAACACAUUUUACUCUGUUAGUUACAUGCAAGUCUCAUACUCCCUGCUGCCGGUAAUACUUUUUCGAAAUAUUGCAUGUAUCUAGACACUUUUAAACAUAGAUACAUUCAUUUUGGGACAAAAAUGAGACAAAUAAUAUAGGUCGGAGGGAAUAUGGGACGGAGGGAGUAUUAAAUUGCAAUUCAAGCUUAUUAAUUUCUUUCUUGAAAAGGGUUCCAAAACCAAAAACAAUAAAAACAACCUAAAAUAAUAAUAAUAAUAAUAAUAAUAAUAAUAAUAAUAAUAAUAAUAAUAAUAAUAAUAAUACUCCAAAAGAAGCCACUGAUUUGAUAAUUUGACUUGUGUCCAGAGUACAAAAAAGGACCUGGGUCAUAGCUGUCCCCGGUUUCUAAGAACAGAUUUUAAAAAGCAGUGGAGUUUACUCAUUCCUCACCUUUUGUUGGAGCUCACUGAUUUGUUGCAUGAAUUGUUGGUCCUGCAGAAACAUAUAUAUGUCGUGUGAAACGAUUGACAUUGUGUCUGGCAACCCAAACUAAACUUAAGAAGAAUAAAAAGGGAGCCACCCUACCUUUGUACAAAGCACCCUCUGCAGUCCUGUUUCAAGAUUCUUUUCCAUCUGCUGCAAUUCACCGACAGUUAACCCCUCAAGUUCCUCACCUCUCAUAUGUCUAUGUAGAUUAUAGAACAUGGCAUCAGUAGUAAACAAGUUUUAAGUUAACACACAAAGCCAGGAUCAAACAAAACAUUACCUAAGCCGAAGACUUGCUUCUGCGAGUUGUUCAUUCAAACUGUUGUACUUGUUGUGUUCUACCUGACAAGAUCACAUAGAUGUCAGUACUAGCAUAUAAAUUAGGCACAAUGAUAGAGUUUCUUAUGAGAUUUGUGCAAAUUCAGAUUGUCAGAUCUGGAAAUUCACAGUAAAUGAUUCGAAAUUAAUGAAAUCUGGGCCUUUUGUUUCGGGCUUAGAACAUGUCCAGUGGGCCAUAUAAAGAGGGCCCAAGCUGGAAGGAUGAGCCAAAUCAUGAGCAGGGUCUACUAAGGAAAUAAUGAUGAAGACAAAUUUUCACCUCCAAAUGUAUGUCACCUGAUCAAUAAUUCCAGAAGUGAAAUUUGGUUUGGUGUACCCCUACAAUGUAUAUAAUACAUGAUAAAUCACCCCUCUAGGUGGGUUCAAACUAACAUGGCAUAUGUUCAGUCUGUUCUGAGCCAAAUAGAUGCUGAUUGUGACUAUGGCCUCUAUUUGACUGAUCUGACUUGACAUUUCCCAUGCACUUUCCUUUCCACUCUCUCACCCCCAUUGUCAGCGGAGAAGAUCUCACUACCGUAUUUGCCACCAUUGGCGAGCCAAGAGACACCGCCGCCAUGCCAACAACGACCGACACAAUGACGCGACCUCCCAGGCACCACAGUGGCUACGCAGCGGCCUUCUUACUCAAGUCCAGCCACUGCUCAGCUGCAUCGAAUCUCUGCCCACGGUGAGCCCCUAAAAAAUUCCUCUUGCUCGUGCAAUCCUCUCCUUCUAUAGAUUAUUUACACUCACCCAAUUUUGCUGAUCCUAGCUUCGCCUCCACGUGCACCCACCGCAGCACAUGUACCGUCCAAACCACACUAUCAUCGUCACCUUUGUUUCUUUCCGAAACCGAACCCUUGUUUCAUGUUCACCAUCACCUUCGACGACCCACGACCUAUGUUUCUUCAGCGAGCUCGUUGUGGCGCUGUCCUUUGUUCCUUCCCACUGUUCUCCCUAUGUUCUCUCUUUGCCUCAAUUCUGCUCGUGCUUCCUUAGUGCUCACUAAUUAAUCAUAGUCUUCGUUGGGUUCUUCUCGCCGUUGAUUGGAAUGAGAGAGAUGGUGAGACUUGAGGAAGAAGAAGGCGGCGUAGGUGCUACAGUACUUAGCAGCAUUGUCCCGGUCAUCUUGUCAUGAUGGUACACUACUCUUGAUCCAGUGACAUACACUUGAGGGUGAAAAUUGGACUUCUUUCCGUGAAAUAUAGAAGACAACAUAGACUUCCUGGUACCGUCGUGCGCAUUAUAUCCCUAUUUAGUUUGUUUUCCAUGCAACUAAGUGACAGCGCACCGUAAAUAUUUUGAUUAACAUCGAACUUAUUUAUGAUCGGCAAAGGACAUUAAUUUUUAUUAGAAAAGAAGAUGUCAUAAACAUUUUGCUCCGUAGAUUCUAUAUAAAAAGGAUAGCUAGAUUGCUCGGCAUACGUUUAAAUCAAUUGAAGGUUGCCUCCUGGCCUGUGGCUUGGCAAACCGGCCUCCAGUCGGCCUGGGCGAGGCCGAGUGGGCCUAAUCGGCUUGGGCCAAGCCGAUUAGCUCCAGUAGGCCAGGCCCAGGUCGAGGGUGUAUUAUUUUUAAUAAAUUAUUUUCAAUAAUGAUUAAAUAAUUCGUAUUAUUUAAAAAAAAUAGCCAUGGUUUUGGCAUGCCAAUGCUAUUUGUCAUUUUUUAUUUUAUUUUUUAAAAGUUGGCUAAUUCAUGGACAAAAAAGUUUGACCACCAGCAGCUGAGGUGCUCUGGGGAGAUCGGAGGAUGCUGUACUUGAGAAAAUGACUCUGGAAAGAGAGAUGGAUGAGUUGCUCUAUAAGGAGGAGAUGAUGUGGCUUCAGCGGUCACGUAUCGCGUGGCUUUGGGAAGGGGACAAAAACACAAGUUUUUUUCACAAGAAGGCUGUGUGGCGUGCUAAGAAGAAUAAAGUUGAAAAGCUCCGGAAGGAGGAUGGUGAAUGGGAGGAGGACGGGGAGGAGAUCGGGCGCAUGGCGAGGUCCUUUUUUCAGGAACUUUAUACUCGUGAUCCUGCUGUUGACCCGAGUGAGAUUGUGCACUUAUAUGAUCACGUCAUUACUGAAGCUAUGAACGAGGAUCUGUGCAAACCGUUUACUGACAAGGAGAUCAGCGAUGCCCUUUUCCAGAUUGGACCCUUAAAGGCACCUGGGCCGGACGGCUUCCUAGGCAGGUUUUUUCAACGGAAUUGGGAAGUGCUUGGGAGGAUAUUACGAAGGCAGUAUGUAGAUUCUUUGAGGGUGGAGUGAUGGAGGAAGAUGUAAAUGAUACGGCCAUUGUGCUUAUUCCAAAAAAGGGUGAUCCGGAGACGUUGAAGGAUUUCAGACCUAUUAGUCUCUGCAAUGUGAUCUACAAGAUUGUGUCCAAGUGCUUGGUGAACCGACUACGUCCGCUGUUGGGGGAUAUCAUCAGCCCCGAACAGAGUGCCUUUGUCCUGGGCCGGAUGAUCACUGAUAAUGCUCUAAUAGCAUUUGAAUGUAUACAUGCCAUGCAAAAGAACAAUGAUGAACGUGGGGAAUUCUGUGCAUACAAGCUUGACUUGGAAAAAGCUUAUGAUCGAGUGGAUUGGGGGGCGUUGGAGGCAUGGUGAGGCUGGGCUUUCAUCGCACAUGGAUACAGUGGACUCUUCAAUGUGUCGCCAUUGUACGCUCCACGGUGCGCCUCAAUGGGGAGCAGCUUCAGGCGAUCUCCCCAAUGCAUGGUCUUCGCCAAGGUGAUCCUUUGUCACCCUACCUCUUUCUAUUUGUGGAUGAUGGCUUAUCUUGCAUCUUGAAGCACAAAAUUGAAACUGAACGUAUGGAUGAUCUGAGAAUCUGUCAAGGAGCGCCGGGUAUCUCGCAUUUGCUCUUUGCGGAUGAUAGCUUGUUGAUGUUUCGAGCCACGGCAGAGCAAGCUUUGCAAGUCCAGGAGGUGCUAACCUUGUUUGAGAAGAGCACUGGGCAACUGUUGAGUGCGAGUAAGUGCUCCAUAAUGUUUGGCCGUUCUUGCACGUCAGACAAUCAACAAGUUGUGAAGGAAAUUUUGCAAGUUGAGAAGGCUGGGUUUGAGGAGAAGUAUUUGGGACUGCCUAUGCCAAACGGAAGAAUGAAGAAUGAUCAGUUCAAAGGCAUAAAGGAUAAGUUCAAUAAACGCAUGUCUGAUUGGUCUGAGAAGUACUUGUCGGCAGGAGGGAAGGAGGUGUUGAUCAAAUCAGUGUUGCAGGCUCUUCCUACUUAUGCCAUGGGAAUUUUCAAGUUUUCAGCCGGGCUAUGUGAAGACCUAUCUCACUUGGUGAGGAAUUUUUGGUGGGGAGACGAAGAAAAUGAUCGCAAGAUUCAUUGGUUAGCUUGGGACAAGAUAACUGUCCCGAAGAGCUUCAGAGGCAUGGGGUUUAGGGACUUCAGAGCUUUUAAUCAGGCGUUGCUUGCACGUCAAGCCUGGAGGCUUAUCCAUGAGCCGAACAGCCUGUGCGCGAGGUUGUUGAAGGCAUGUUACUACCCGGCUGGACAAAUACAUGAUACUGUCUUCAGCUCGGGGGGAUCGGCGUCGUGGCAGGGCAUUGUGCAUGGCUUGGAGCUAGUGAAAAAGGGCAUGAUCUGGAGAGUUGGUACGGGCGAGAAAGUGCAUAUUAUCCGGGACAACUGGCUUGCUCGGGACGAUGCCCUUAAAAUUUCUGGAUAUAUUCCAGAAACGCACGAGGAGGAAGUUUGUCAGGGACCUUAUGGUGGAGGGCGAGAGAAGAUGGGACGAGGCUGUGGUCAAUGAGUUUUUCUGGCCACAUGAUGCAAAGCUGAUCCUGCGCCUGCAAAUUCCACAAGGUCAGGUGGAGGACAGGAUCGCUUGGCACUAUGACAAGCUUGGGAUUUUUUCUGUUAGGAGCACCCAUCGCCUGGCGAUCCGCGACCGCUUGCAGAUACAGAAUCCUGGUUCCUCGAGUUCUACCACCGAUGGAAGUCGCAAACACUGGAAGGUUCUUUGGUUGGCUCGGGUUCCCCCAAAGGUUAGGGUUUUUGCUUGGAGGCUGGCGCGCAAUGCCCUAGCUACCCAGAAGAACAGGCAACGGCGGGGAAUGGAGGUGCUCGCGACCUGCAAUAUUUGUGGGCGGGAGGAGGAGGAUGAACAUCAUGCUGUGAUUGGCUGUACAAAGGCGCGAGCACUCCGGGAUGAGAUGCGCCAGCACUGGGAGCUGCCACCAGAGGACAAGCUGGGGAGAGGCCCUGAGUGGCUCCAGCUGCUCCCCUAUGGAUCAUCGAAGGAGAUGCGCGCUCACCACUUGAUGUUGUUCUGGCAAGCGUGGCACCUCUGCAAUAACGUCAUUUUGGAGAUGGGAAGGCAUCGAUUGUCGGCAGUGCUCAGUUCCUUGUUAAUUACUUGGAGUCGUUGGGUAAUCUCCGGCUUAAACCAGCAGAUGUGAAGGGCAAGUCCUUGGAGAGUAGGGAGCGUUUGAAGGGAGUUCAUAAGCCUAGUUUUCGUUCUAAUAGGGGUGUAGAUGGUACUGCUGAGUGCCCUAAGCCGCCCCAAGACUUUGCUGAGCUCCAGAAUUUUGCUUUUAAUGUGACCCUUAAUCGUUAGUAAAGCUCCCUAUUCCAGCGCGAAAAAAAAAGUUUGACCAAUAUUUUUAAUAUUUUUGGCAACCAACUUUUUCUCGGCUCAAACCAAACAAGACCUUAGACCCUCGUGGGGUGUGGUUAGUCGUCCAACCUCGUGAACGCGAUGGUCGAGUGGAAUUAUAGCGGUGGCCCAAGAAUUUAGUGCAAUUUACUACUCGGAGCUCGCACACUCAGUAAGAGUCUAAAAAAUCUAAAAGAAAAAAGGUGCAGAAAGUUUCAUUUUGUAAAUUGAUCGGCGACUUCGGAGGAGAACAAAAAAACGUACUAUAAAUAUGUAAAAUACUACUCCCUGCGAUCCUAAAUUGUUGUCAAAAUAUUACAUGUAUCUAGACACUUUUUAAGAAUAGAUACAUCCAUAUUUUAGCAAAUUUGAGUCAAGAAUUUAGGAUCAGAGGGAGUACUCCCUAUGUUUGUUUAUAUGAGACGUUUAGCUUCGAUUUAAGUCAAACUUAUUAAAUUUGAUUAUGUUUAUAAUUUUUUUUACCAACAUCUACAACUAUAAAUUAUUAUUAUGUAAAAAUCUAUCGUUAUAUUUAUCUUCAUAGUAUACUUAUUUGAUAUUCUAGGCAUACAUUAAUAUAUUUCCCAAUAAACUUGAUCGGACAUUAAGACGUUCGACUUAAAAAAAAAUUAGAACUCUUAAAAAAGAGAGCUGGGGAUUUGCUAAUUUAAAAUGUGACGAGAAUUGAGUCCAUUAAUAUUUUGUAGUUCAAUUUUUUGUUUUAGUUUCACAAUGUGUCAUCUAAAGUUCGACCAAGAUUAUAACAAAAAAGGUUCAAGGAUAUAACAUUUCAAACUAGGAUAAUAUUAAAAAAAUCAAUGGAUCUAACGAUCUUAAUUUUGCACCGAGAUGUUAAUAUUUUGUCAUAAAGGUUGGUCAAAUUUGAGAAAGUUUGAUCAUGGACUAAAUUUAUGAACAUUACAUUUUGAAAAAUAAGUAGUAUUAUUUCACACACGGGAGGGGACCCUCUUUUUUUUUUUUUAAAGUUUGUAUGCCACAAUUUUUUUUUUGGGAACAUAGCAUAAUCGCACACGCUCGUAAAUACAAACGUACAUUCAGCUCUACAAACGCACGCACACCCUAACUUUACGAGAGCUUAUGAGAGACUAAGCCGGCAGAUUUUGAAAUCGACGACUCUCCUUAGGAGGUUGCAACCCCUCACUGUGGGAGGGGGAUCUCCUAGUGUGACACGUGGAGUGCUCUUUUUUUAGGAAAGUUAGGAGGUGCUCAGCUAUUGGAUUAAGAAGAGAACAAACAAAUUUACAGACUGAACAAGCAGUCAAAGAACAAAAAGGAAACCUGAAAAACGAAAAGAUCUGAUACUGCUGAAGCCUCACUUAGGAGGUGGGAGGCUAAUCUCAUCUCUGAUUAGCGCCGUACUCUUUGUGCAGUUAAGCUUUUUUGGUCAAAAACUCUUCUAUUUCUAUCUUUCCAAAUGUUCCACACAAUAUAUGAAGCGAGUGAGAUGAUCUUCUUUUUUUUCAUUGCAUUUUGGAGCAGUUUUGAGUCUUUUCCACCACCCCUUAAUUGAACUGGAAGCCGCAACAUGCUGGAGCAAUGGUUGAUCAGCAGAAAAGUUAUGCCAAACCUCCUUGGAGAAGGAACAUCUGAGCCCCAUAUGAGCAGCUGAUUCAAUCUCCUGAUAGCACAAUUUGCGAGUCCCAUCAUGCUGCCAAUUUCUGGCCAUCAAUCUGUGGACGGUCCAAGUCUGUUCUGAAUCAAAAGCCACAUGAAAAACUGAACCUUGCGUUCAGCUUUAAUCUUCCAACUUUUGCAAGCUGUUGCUGCUUCAAAUUGCCUAGAAAUUGCACCUCAUAUGCGGAUUUGCUGAGUAUGAUUUACGGAGUGCUAUGGGAGAACAUGUGGGUUCAAGAGGUAGUUUUUUUCUUUCCCUAUAUCGAAAAUUUAAAUACAAAUAAACUUUUGAACGGGGCAUGCAAACUAUAUGCACUUUCUCAUGAAGAUAACGUCAAGACAUCUCAUAUUGACAUGUCUCGUUUUUUACUUUUUUUAUCCCGACUUAUGUCUUUUGUCCUAUCUUGUUUCUAGCGGUCGUUCUUUUUCUUCUUCUUUUUAAUCCCGUAAUUAUCUUGUUCUGCGCACGUGGUGUUUAUUUUUAGAUGGUAGCCAAAGUUCACCUAAUCAAACUUUUGAUACUAACCAAAAAUUUAGUAAUUGUUUAAUAGCAGCCAAUUCUUCCAGUUAAACGGCAUUACAUUUUCUACUACUUUCUCUGUUUCAUAUUAAAUGACUUUUUAUUACAUGUAUCUAAACAUUUUUAGACAUAGAUACAUCCAUAUUUGGACAAAUUUGAGUCACUUAAUAUGUGACGGAGGAAAUAGUUCAUUUUAGCAAAACAUCCAGCGAAAAUUUUACAACCAAAACAAAACGUAUCCUCGGAACUUCAGUCCGUCCGCGGAAAACGGUUUAUGUGGUGGAGCGGAUCAUCUAGGCCCUGAAACGGCAAACAGUUAAACAUGCCAUGGCCCGCCAACAUUCCCCAGCCCAUAUCCUAGAUUCCUAGUGCGCUACACUCGUCUGGUGCACAAAAGGCUGCGGUCGGUCUAGCCCAAGUUUCUUCUACAAGUAAACUGCACCACUAUAGCAGCUUGUUUAUUCUUGUAAGAACUAGAAGCACUGCUCUCAAGGAGCAUGGUAACCAACAUUUUACCUUCACACAAAAAAUAAACCCAACAUUUUACCAUAUCACUCUCUACAAACUCAAUACAAUUAUGAUUGUCUGAAUCCUUGUAAUAGGGUGGGAUUAGACAUGGCCAACCCAGUUGAGAACUACAGGAAGUGGUGAAGAAGACCAAAGGGGCAACGAUUUGACCGAAUGGUAGCGAAGCGGGGUACGUUAGGUGGCCCUCUCAUGCUUGGUAACCAAUAUAUUCUCCGUUUAAGCUCAAUGAAUCCCCGUAAAGCCUCAUUCGAUUAAUCCCAUCCCGGUGGGGAUCAAGAGGGAUUAUCGGGCCGGAUUUCCUCCCCAAAUCCCUGUUGUAAAAUGAAUCUGUGUGUUCUAAUCCAUUGAACGAUGAUCAUAUAUAUACAAGGGGAAGGGACACCAAUACAUGCAUUGGUGUCCCAAGUUUUGGGCAUUCGCGUCCCAAUUUUGGCAAAAUUGGGACACGAACCGUUACAUCAUUAACUCUCUAAUUAACUAUUAAUUAGCUAAUAAUUAAUCAUAAAUAAUUAUUCUCAACAAUCCCUUCCCAAUCUUCUCUAAACCAUGUGUAACCGAACGAACCCUAAGGCCUAGUUCGGUUAUGCCCAUAUCCACCGGGAUUGAUGCAAUUUUAGUUCAAUUUCUCCCUAAUCCCUGUCAAUCACUGCAGAGAUUGUUGCGACCGAACUAGCCCUAAUGGGGUGGGACUAGACAUUCAUCAAGAGCUACAAGAAGAAGCGGUGAGGAAGACCAAAGAAGCAGCGAUUCGACCGCUUCACCAUGAGGCCUAAUUUGGUUGCACCAUUCCCGACAGGUUAUAGAGUGGAUUGAGGGGAAAUUGAACUAAAUUUGAUCCACUCCCCAUUGAUCCCCGCCGAGAAUGGUAGAUCCGAACGGGCCCUAAGCGGCUUCAAUUCAGGUCGUUCACCCAUCGCAAUAUUGCAAAUGAGGAUGGUUCAAGAUAAGUACAUGCGUUUUCACCAUCACCAUGCAUGGACAACAAAGUUUUCACCAUCACCAUGCAUGGACAACAAAAUUAUCCAUCAGCAGCAAGCUAGGUAACAAUGCACUGAGAAUGGCUUAGGCCAACAAGCUUUCACAACGAAGUACACAUGAGCCUUAGGUACAUAGUUUGCACGAAUGAUACAAGUCGCAGGAGCGAAGAAACACUACACAUAGCACUACGCUACAAGUCCGGUGCACACCCAAGCAAAGGGGAACAA